RNAcentral lists this long non-coding RNA (3214 nucleotides) under Homo sapiens (human). RNAcentral's name for it is "HSALNT0083007". The record is from RNAcentral. Lineage: Eukaryota; Metazoa; Chordata; Mammalia; Primates; Hominidae.
GACCUCUCAAACCAACCCCCAUUUACUACAGAAAGGGCCCUUGGGACUCCUGCACUUAGCAUUGUGAGUGGCAAUGCGGGUUGUCCAAGCUGUGUGGUGGUCCGGGCAGUGUGGUGGUCCAGGCAUGAUGAGUGGUCCAGGUAGGGUGGUGGUGAGUGGUCAGGGCAGUGUGGUGGUCUAAGCAGUGUGUGGCCUAGGUAGGGUGAGUGCUCCAGGCAGUGUGGUGGUCUGGGCAGGGUGAGUAGUCUAGGCAGUGUGGUGAUCCGGGCAGUGUGAGUGCUCCAGGCAGUGUGGUGGUCUGGGCAGGGUGAGUAGUCUAGGCAGUGUGGUGAUCCGGGCAGUGUGGUGGUCCGGGCAGGGUGAGUGGUCCGGACAGUGUGGUGGUUCGGGCAGUGUGAGUGCUCCAGGCAGUGUGGUGGUCUGGGCAGGGUGAGUAGUCUAGGCAGUGUGGUGAUCCGGGCAGUGUGAGUGCUCCAGGCAGUGUGGUGGUCCGGGUAGGGUGGUAGUCUUAACAGGGUGAGUGGUCCGGGCAGUGUGGUGGUCCGGGCAGUGUGGUGGUCCGGGCAGGGUGAGUGGUCCGGACAGUGUGGUGGUUCGGGCAGUGUGGUGGUCUGGGCAGUGUGGUGGUCCAGGCAGGGUGAGUGGUCCGGGCAGUGUGGUGGUCCGGGCAGUGUGGUGGUCUGCGUAGGGUGUUGGUCCCAGUAGGGUGGUGAGCCUGGCAGGGUGAGUGAUCUGAACAGUGUUUCGUCUGGGGCAGAGGUAAAGGUGCUGGCAGAGACAUCAAGCUCCGUCCAUUUUCCCGGCAGUGCUGUUGAGUGUGGCUGGAGGAUCCGAGGGUGUGGUCUGAGCGACCUCAGUGGGGCCUUGAUUGCUGGGUGUUGUCCAGAAACCCGCCGCUCCUCCCACUGGCCUUGACCUUGGCUGGGCUGGGGGUUGCUGGGCGGCAGGGGCAGGCAGCCACCUCUGCACACAGGGCCACCCUCGCCACUGCUCUCCCCAUUGGAUUCUGCAGAGCCGGGGACUUCACGGCCCUGACCGCUGCCCUGUAUCUCGGUGACGUGAUGUGCUCGUGUUGGUUUUUCCUGUCUUUUUUUAGACUUAAUCAGAAAUAAGGUAGAAGGUCAGAGUCCACAGCAAAGAGGCACAGAGGGGAACGGCAGCUCCUUGGGUCCCACGGGGCUGUGCCUGCUCCUUGGUGGGGACACUGGAGGCCCAGAGUGGCACAGACCCUGUCUUCACUGAGGGGAGAAAGAGGCAGCCCCGGGGCAUGAGAGCCACCCCUGCUGAUGCUGCCCCGGGCCCACAAGGGCCAAGCUCCAGGAACAUGGAAGUCCUGCCCUGGGCAGCACAGCCUCCAGAUUCCAAGAACCCAGCCUGGCACCCCAGGCUGGGCACAGCAAGGAGAGAGACUUCGACACUCUGCAUUAAGAUGGUAGCUCGUGGCCGGCGCGGUGGCUCAUCCCUGUAAUCCCAGCACUUUGGGAGGCCGAGGCGGGUGGAUCACAAGGUCAGGAAUCAAGACCAUCUGGUUAACACCAUGAAACCCUGUCUCUUAAAAAUAUGAAAACUUAGCCGGGCGUGGUGGCAGGCGCCUGUAGUCCCAGCUACUGGGGGGAGGCCGAGGCAGGAGAAUGGCGUGAACCUGGGAGGCGGAGCUUGCAGUGAGCCGAGAUCACAUCACUGCACUCCAGCCUGCGCCACAGAGCAAAACUCCGUCACACACACACAAAAAAAUGGUAGCUCCUGAGCCAACACUUUUCCGCUCCCCCACCCGCUGCGUCUCAGCAUUCCUUAGGCUCUCCCCUUGGGAGACUCACAUGUAUGGGGCGGGGGAGCGGGGGUUUCCUAGGCCCUGACUCAGCUAGAGCGUCUGGCUGACCCGUCAUUGUCCAGGGAAGCCAUGGAUCUGGUGGCCGCAGCCCAGCGCCGUCCUCACCACCCAGGCCUGCCUGGAGCCCAGUGGCUGUCAGGGCAGCCGAGACCAGAAGCGCAGGUGGAGCCAAGGCCCCGCUGCAGUCCGCAGAGUUGCAACUCUGGGAGCUGAGCCCUCACAAGCCUUGCUUUUCACCUCCUCCCAGUGCUACCAGCCAGACCCCGAGGGCCCGGGACCCUCCAUGUACCCAUCCACACUUCUCGGCCCACCCCUCCCUGACAGCCCCGGCACCCCGGGAGGGAGCAGGACUGCAGUGUGAGAAGGCAGCACCGCCCCGGCGCCCGCGAGGAAGCCGAACUGCUCAUAAGUUAAGCAGCCCCAGCCAGGUCACGGGGCAAGGAAGCCGCCUGCGACCUCGGAAACCCCUGGUUCAUCCCAUGACCCACCCCCGUUCAUCCGGUGACCCACCCCUCACCCCGGUUCAUCCCGUGACCCACCCCCCCGUUCAUCCCAUGACCCAGCCCCCCACCCCGGUUCAUCCCAUGACCCAGCCCCCCACCCCGGUUCAUCCCAUGACCCACCCCCCACCCCGGUUCAUCCCGUGACCCACCCCCCGUUCAUCCCAUGACCCAGCCCCCCACCCCGGUUUAUCCCGUGACCCACCCCCUGUUCAUCCCGUGACCCACCCCCCGUUCAUCCCGUGACCCAGCCCCCAACCCCGUUCAUCCCGUGACCCACCCCCAACCCCGGUUUAGCCCGUGACCCACCCCCCCCCCGUUCAUCCCGUGACCCACCCCCCGGUUCAUCCCGUGACCCAGCCCCCAACCCCGUUCAUCCCGUGACCCAGACCCCACCCUGGUUUAUCCCAUGACCCACCCACGGUUCAUCCUGUGACCCGCCCCCCGUUCAUCCCGUGACCCACCCCCCACCCCUGGUUUAUCCCGUGACCCACCCCCGGGUCAUCCUGUGACCCAGACCCCACCCUGGUUUAUCCCAUGACCCGCCCACGGUUCAUCCUGUGACCCGCCCCCCGUUCAUCCCGUGACCCAGCCCCCCACCCCUGGUUUAUCCCGUGACCCACCCCCGGGUCAUCCUGUGACCCAGACCCCACCCCUGGUUUAUCCCGUGACCCACCCUCGGGUCAUCCCGUGACCCAGACCCCACGCCUGGUUUAUCCCGUGACCCACCCGCAGCACCAGCACCUCAGUGCUGCUUUUGUAUUUAUAGUCGCCUUGCUGUAUGUUGAGCGUAAUUUUACAAUCUGCCCAAAAUUCCUUUGAAGAGCAGAUAGGUGUGUACACCCUAAAUGAAUAAAAUACAGUGCGAUUUGGUGAAAGGUAA